This is a long non-coding RNA of Prionailurus viverrinus (fishing cat), 674 nucleotides long. RefSeq lists it as uncharacterized. Lineage: Eukaryota; Metazoa; Chordata; Mammalia; Carnivora; Felidae. The transcript is spliced from 5 exons. The record is from RefSeq and is a predicted model, not a curated record.
UCUAAUGAGAAAAGGAAGGGUUCUUCAAAAAACAGAACUGCUACUUUGAGCUAUCUUGGAAGGUGGAUCUUCUGAGUCAUAGAGCAGUGUAGAAACCAAGACCCUCCGGACCCAGCCUGAUGUCGACUGCCUUGAAGAGACACAACCACUGUUAAUAAACAGUCCCUUGUAAAUAAUCUAGGAGAUGCAAAUCAAGACCAUAACAAGAUACUACUUUACGUCCAUUCGAUUGACAAAAAUUAAGACAUCUGGCAAUACCAAGUUCUGAAGAGGGCAGAUCAAUAGGAUGUCUUACACGUUGCUGGUAUAAACCGUGGACAACUCCAGCAGGUGCGCACCAGGAGAGAGAACCACAUAUGUGAAUCUCCACUGCAGCUCUCUAUUACAGCAAGAAAUGUGAAGGCCUAAACUCCAGUGUUCAGGAGACCAGAUAGGGAAUGGACUGUGGCCACUCAGGAAUAUAUUGGCACCAGCUCUCUGAAGAAUCUCUGAGGCACGCUGAUUUUCAGAGAUAAUUGAAGACGCUGGAUGUGCAGCUGGCCCCCACCACCUCUGUCUCCACGUAAGGUUGAAAGCAGGUCAGCUCUUUUUUCAUGGAUGGAAACACUCAGAACAUGAAGUAUCAUUUAAACCUCCCUCAUAUAAUAAAUUUCCAUCCUCCUUCUAGGCAGUGG